RNAcentral lists this ribosomal RNA (253 nucleotides) under uncultured bacterium. RNAcentral describes it as "partial 16S ribosomal RNA". It matches the Rfam family "Bacterial small subunit ribosomal RNA", at positions 524 to 776 of the family's 1533-position model. The record is from RNAcentral.
UACGUAGGCAGCAAGCGUUGUUCGGAAUUACUGGGUGUAAAGCGCGUGUAGGCGGCAGACCAAGUCGGCGGUGAAAGCGCCCGGCUCAACUGGGCGAGGUCCGUGGAAACUGGUCAGCUGGAGGACGGUAGAGGCGAGUGGAAUUCCCGGUGUAGUGGUGAAAUGCGUAGAUAUCAGGAGGAACACCGGCGGCGAAGGCGGCUUCCUGGACCGAUACUGACGCUGAGACGCGAAAGCGUGGGGAGCAAACAGG